Molecule: non-coding RNA, 416 nt
Filed under: Brachypodium distachyon (stiff brome)
Lineage: Eukaryota; Viridiplantae; Streptophyta; Magnoliopsida; Poales; Poaceae
Description: Bacterial large subunit ribosomal RNA
Rfam family: Bacterial large subunit ribosomal RNA
Source: Rfam by way of RNAcentral
UUUGCCAUACUGAUCUACUAAUUGCUUGUACUGCCGUUUAUUGCGAGCGGUACCAAAUCGAGGCAAAUUCUGAAUACUAGAUAUGACCCCAAAAUAACAAGGGUCAAGUUUGGCCAGUGAGACGAUGGGGGAUAAGCUUUAUCGUCGAGAGGGAAACAACCUGGAUAACCAGCUAAGGCCCCUAAAUGACCGCUCGUGAUAAAGGACGUGGGGGUGCAAAGACAACCAUGAGGUUUGCCUAGAAGCAGCCACCCUUUAAAGAGUGCGUAAUAGCUCACGGAUCGAGCGCCCUUGUGCUGAAGAUGAACGGGGCUAAGCGAUCUGCUGAAGCUGUGGAAUGUCAAAAUGCAUCGGUAGGGAACGUUCCGCCUUAGAAGGAAGCAACCGCGAAAGCAAGGGUCGACGAAGCAGAAGCG